UCCGAAUUGGUGUAGUGGCUAACAUUUGACGCUCUCAUGAUCCUCAUGAUCUUCAUGAUCACGGACAGGUGCCGUCAAGCCCGGGGUUCGAUUCCCCGAUUCGGAG
Xylaria sp. CBS 124048 is the source of this 106-nucleotide non-coding RNA. The record is from the annotation of a GenBank genome assembly. NCBI's taxonomy places the organism in Eukaryota, Fungi, Ascomycota, Sordariomycetes, Xylariales, Xylariaceae.